This 210-nucleotide ribosomal RNA is filed under the name uncultured bacterium. RNAcentral's name for it is "partial 16S ribosomal RNA". It matches the Rfam family "Bacterial small subunit ribosomal RNA", at positions 1292 to 1500 of the family's 1533-position model. The record is from RNAcentral.
UUCGGAUUGCAGUCUGCAACUCGACUGCAUGAAGCUGGAAUCGCUAGUAAUCGCAGAUCAGAAUGCUGCGGUGAAUACGUUCCCGGGUCUUGUACACACCGCCCGUCACACCAUGGGAGUCGGAAAUGCCCGAAGCCGGUGACCAAACCAAUAAGGAAGGAGCCGUCGAAGGCAGGUCUGAUAACUGGGGUGAAGUCGUAACAAGGUACC